ACCUCAGUAACGGCGAGUGAAGCGGUAACAGCUCAAAUUUGAAAUCUGGGUCUUUCAGGCUCCGAGUUGUAAUUUGUAGAAGAUGCUUCGGGUGCGGCUCCGGUCUAAGUUCCUUGGAACAGGACGUCAUAGAGGGUGAGAAUCCCGUAUGUGAUCGGCCGCUUGCGCCCAUGUGAAGCUCUUUCGACGAGUCGAGUUGUUUGGGAAUGCAGCUCCAAAUGGGUGGUAUAUUUCAUCUAAAGCUAAAUAUUGGCCAGAGACCGAUAGCGCACAAGUAGAGUGAUCGAAAGAUGAAAAGCACUUUGGAAAGAGAGUUAAACAGUACGUGAAAUUGUUGAAAGGGAAGCGCUUGCAACCAGACUUGCGUGUUGUUGAUCAUCCGGGGUUCUCCCCGGUGCACUCGACCUCACUCAGGCCAGCAUCGGUUUCGGUGGUUGGAUAAAGGCCUUGGGAAUGUAGCUCCUCUCGGGGAGUGUUAUAGCCCUCGGUGCAAUGCAGCCUACCGGGACCGAGGACCGCGCUUCGGCUAGGAUGCUGGCGUAAUGGUUGUAAGCGACCCGUCUUGAAACACGGACCAAGGAGUCUAACAUCUAUGCGAGUGUUUGGGUGUCAAACCCAUACGCGUAAUGAAAGUGAACGGAGGUGAGAACCCUUAAGGGUGCAUCAUCGACCGAUCCUGAUGUCUUCGGAUGGAUUUGAGUAAGAGCAUAGCUGUUGGGACCCGAAAGAUGGUGAACUAUGCCUGAAUAGGGUGAAGCCAGAGGAAACUCUGGUGGAGGCUCGCAGCGGUUCUGACGUGCAAAUCGAUCGUCAAAUUUGGGUAUAGGGGCGAAAGACUAAUCGAACCAUCUAGUAGCUGGUUCCUGCCG
This 869-nucleotide ribosomal RNA is filed under the name Phlyctema vagabunda. Its description in RNAcentral is "partial 28S ribosomal RNA". It matches the Rfam family "Eukaryotic large subunit ribosomal RNA", at positions 77 to 963 of the family's 3401-position model. Lineage: Eukaryota; Fungi; Ascomycota; Leotiomycetes; Helotiales; Dermateaceae. The record is from RNAcentral.